RNAcentral lists this transfer RNA (72 nucleotides) under Saprospiraceae bacterium. RNAcentral's name for it is "tRNA-Arg". It matches the Rfam family "tRNA". From Rfam's summary of the family: Transfer RNA (tRNA) molecules are approximately 80 nucleotides in length. Their secondary structure includes four short double-helical elements and three loops (D, anti-codon, and T loops). Further hydrogen bonds mediate the characteristic L-shaped molecular structure. tRNAs have two regions of fundamental functional importance: the anti-codon, which is responsible for specific mRNA codon recognition, and the 3' end, to which the tRNAs corresponding amino acid is attached (by aminoacyl-tRNA synthetases). tRNAs cope with the degeneracy of the genetic code in two manners: having more than one tRNA (with a specific anti-codon) for a particular amino acid; and 'wobble' base-pairing, i.e. permitting non-standard base-pairing at the 3rd anti-codon position. The record is from RNAcentral. Lineage: Bacteria; Pseudomonadati; Bacteroidota; Saprospiria; Saprospirales; Saprospiraceae.
GUCCUUGUAGUUCAAGGGAUAGAAUAGAAGUUUCCUAAACUUUUGAUUCGGGUUCGAGUCCCGGCGAGGACA